RNAcentral lists this transfer RNA (91 nucleotides) under Pseudomonadota bacterium. RNAcentral's name for it is "Proteobacteria bacterium (cold seep metagenome) tRNA-Ser". It matches the Rfam family "tRNA". From Rfam's summary of the family: Transfer RNA (tRNA) molecules are approximately 80 nucleotides in length. Their secondary structure includes four short double-helical elements and three loops (D, anti-codon, and T loops). Lineage: Bacteria; Pseudomonadati; Pseudomonadota. The record is from RNAcentral.
GGAGAGAUGCCCGAGAGGCUGAAGGGGGCUGAUUCGAAAUCAGUUGUACCGUUUCGCGGUACCGGGGGUUCGAAUCCCUCUCUCUCCGCCA